AGGAGAGGAAGUGUGGCUGAAGGGCUGGGUAAUGAAGACACCCUCAAGCUACUGGAAAGGAAGCCCUAAGCCCUGCAAACUCAGCCUGGAUUUGAAAGUCGAGUUGGGUUCUCUCUGUCUUGUGUGUUGUCACCACCAGGUCAUCUCUGCCUCAUUACAUCUACCCAGCCCCAUCAUCUCCUGAGCAGUUUGGAACUAAGUGAGCAAUUCUGUUGAUGUACAAGCCAGCAUAGAAUCUAGCUCGCUCUCUCAGAGAUAGUUGGUUCUGAGCUUCAGGAGCCGCUACCUCAGAACAUUAAUUUGUAUGCAGUGUAAUUUGAUGCUCAUUCACCCCAGAUGAAGAUCUACUCCAAUGACUCUGAAUGCACCCAGAGAGCAUUGCUGUAAAGUGGCAGGGACCCUAAAACAGAACGUCUCCUGGAUUUCUGUUCCUCUUGGAAGGUGGUAUCCCCCAACCAUCUCACCCGGCAAGCUGCCUCUGAUGUGUUGGCUGUGAUUAUGAAAUGGAGGUUUUGGGGAGGUACUGUACAAAUGGGCCCUUCCCUGCGCUGUGCACAAAUUUCUGCAGCAUCUCUGGCAAUCAACUUGGAACACUGAUCUCCCUGCAAUGGUGAGACUAUGCCAAUAUUCUGAUAUUAGGCUGCCUGCUACUGCCAUCCUGGCUGAACUCCCUCCCAGCGUCACGUCAAGCAUGUCUAGAUCGGGUGCAGGUUCGUGUCUUCACCUGGGUUAAAUACCAACCAACUUAAUGUGUGCAGAUGAGCCCAGAGACCAGGCCCUCCUGCAUCCAAGGAACAGCGUUUAGAAUUCGCUCAUUUCAACAGCCAUUCUGCAGUCAGCUGUGCUGUUCAGUGUGUCACAGAUGGUCCUGCAGCCCCCAUUGCUUGAGGCUUGGCUGCCAGCAGUGAUAUAUCCGUUGUGCUCUGAGAGCUUGAAGGUGAAGAGGUGGCAUGAGUCCUUUUGCCUGCUGCCUUCCUGUACGGGGCUCAGGAAGGAGCUGGAGCUCUUCCACUCCUGGAACGUGUACAUUUCCAUGUGAGGAACCAGCAUAAAGUCUAGAUGAACUCAAGAUAUUAAGGACCAGUAGGAUUAAUGAAGGAACUGAAGAGCACAUGUUGUUGUUAUGCAAGUCCUACAUAAACUUUGGCUCUUUCCCCACAAGAGAAUGGAAUAUAUAUAUUUAAUAUUGGAAACAUUUAGAAUCUAGAAGAAAUUUCUCCACUAGAUUUUAAUGUUUUGGGGCAGGACAAAAUUUGAACAUAAUCCAUUUGACAGUGUCUUUUUCUUUAAAUAAUAAGUAAUAGUUGAAGAAGAAGGAAAGGUUGCUGGAAAGACUUUGCCUAUGGGUAAGUAAAGCAAGAGGAGUUCCACAGAAGAAAUGAGUGGCUAUACAUAUGGGGAAAGAUAAAUGGGAUGCGACUGUAUGUGCUGUCUUGCAUAUAAACAGAAUACAAUACAACACAACAUACUGACAUACAAAGAUCAAAGUCUAAAACAAAGCCGUGGAAAAGGUUAAAACAAAAGUCAAGUCAUGAAAAAGUGGGUAAUACUUGAAAGAGCUAAUGGAAAUGUGUACAGUAUAAGUUAAGAAAAGAAGGUAACAGGCAUGUCUCUCUCACACACUUUCAGGAUAAUCAAGUUUUCAGAUAUAUACUGAUGAAAAUCUCCAGUCAGUCAGUUUGAGUUUUUGUAUGCAAAAGGGCAACUUCACAAGGGUGAAGAGAAUUACUUCCUAACAUCCCAGGCUGAGCGAGGUCGCAUGUGCUCAGUUCUUACUCUUGAAAUGUCACUGAGCCUUGGCAGAUAAUUUAAAAAAAACCUACAGAGCAACUACAGUACUGCAGUCCAUCCAUAACUGAGUGCUUAGCAGCAAAGAUCUGAAGACAUAUCAGUUGGAAAGUGGUUUGGACUUAAAAAUGAUCUAUAUCUAGCAACAUUUGAAGGAGAGUUUUGCAUAUUUCUCUAUUGCUUUUUUAAAGGCGUAUGGAAACAAGAUUAAAGAUAGGUAUUUAAAA
This is a long non-coding RNA of Chelonia mydas (Green sea turtle), 2015 nucleotides long. RefSeq lists it as uncharacterized. NCBI's taxonomy places the organism in Eukaryota, Metazoa, Chordata, Testudines, Cheloniidae. The record is from RefSeq and is a predicted model, not a curated record. The transcript is spliced from 5 exons.